GAUGAACGCUGGCGGCGUGCCUAAUACAUGCAAGUCGAGCGAACAGACGAGGAGCUUGCUCCUCUGACGUUAGCGGCGGACGGGUGAGUAACACGUGGAUAACCUACCUAUAAGACUGGGAUAACUUCGGGAAACCGGAGCUAAUACCGGAUAAUAUAUUGAACCGCAUGGUUCAAUAGUGAAAGACGGUUUUGCUGUCACUUAUAGAUGGAUCCGCGCCGCAUUAGCUAGUUGGUAAGGUAACGGCUUACCAAGGCAACGAUGCGUAGCCGACCUGAGAGGGUGGUCGGCCACACUGGAACAGAGACACGGUCCAGACUCCUACGGGAGGCAGCAGUAGGGAAUCUUCCGCAAUGGGCGAAAGCCUGACGGAGCAACGCCGCGUGAGUGAUGAAGGUCUUCGGAUCGUAAAACUCUGUUAUUAGGGAAGAACAAAUGUGUAAGUAACUAUGCACGUCUUGACGGUACCUAAUCAGAAAGCCACGGCUAACUACGUG
Molecule: ribosomal RNA, 497 nt
Filed under: uncultured bacterium
Lineage: Bacteria
Description: partial 16S ribosomal RNA
Rfam family: Bacterial small subunit ribosomal RNA
Source: RNAcentral